RNAcentral lists this ribosomal RNA (207 nucleotides) under uncultured bacterium. Its description in RNAcentral is "partial 16S ribosomal RNA". It matches the Rfam family "Bacterial small subunit ribosomal RNA", at positions 568 to 774 of the family's 1533-position model. The record is from RNAcentral.
CGCGUAGGUGGUUAUUUAAGUGAGAUGUGAAAUCCCCGGGCUUAACCUGGGAACUGCAUCUUAUACUGGGUAACUGGAGUGCAAUAGAGGGUAGUGGAAUUUCCGGUGUAGCGGUGAAAUGCGUAGAUAUCGGAAGGAACACCAGUGGCGAAGGCGGCUACCUGGAUUGACACUGACACUGAGGCGCGAGAGCGUGGGGAGCAAACA